This 1080-nucleotide long non-coding RNA is filed under the name Mus spicilegus (steppe mouse). RNAcentral describes it as "lncRNA (ENSMSIG00000012973.1)". The record is from RNAcentral. Lineage: Eukaryota; Metazoa; Chordata; Mammalia; Rodentia; Muridae.
GUACUCCUGCCACGAAUUGGGUUGGGAUCUGAAAUCCCCUCGCCUUGACUUCUACCUUUGGACUGGUAUUCGGGAGCUGAUACCCUCUGAGCUGGGUAUAGAGUUCUAGAUCAUCCUUAUGCUCCCAGAAAGAUACCGCCUUGCAGUUCUCCACCAGCAAAAUCUCCAGCAGGCUCUGUGGAGAGGAACCACGCUCUCCCCGACACACAGGGCACGCUCAGCAGAACAAGGAAAACUUCCCAAGUUCUGUGAUUCAGCCCAGAAGGAGCCAUGUAGCAAACAGGUUGCAGCAGGCAGCUUGGAGAAGAGGAUUCUCUACCUCUGUUUGCCAUCUUGUAUGGGAACAGUUGAGUCAUGGACUUGGGCUACUCUGCCAAACUUUACAUUGGAUGCUGGUCAGUUCAACUCAAGGCCUUACCCUUGUGCAGCAAGGACACGUGUCCGAAGGAAAACAUGGACCCUGACCUGGUGUGCUCAUGAUCUACUAAGUAGAUAACAACAAGCAAUUAGAAUACAGAGUGUCUGCAGAGAAAGCUGAGGCGACACAAGAGAGAAACAACUGAUCUAAUGGACUUGUAUACGUUGGAUUUGGCUGUAGGUGACAGAAAAGCUCAAACUUGGGCCAGUGAGCUGGCUCAGUGGGUAAAGGUGCUUGCCAACAAGCCUGACCGAUGAUAUGAGUGUGAUACCCCAGAAAUCACAUGAAAGGAGAGAACCAACUCCCAGAAGUGCACACACUCACACUCCAAGCAGUUAAAAGUCUGGAAAUAAUUAGUCCAGAGCUAAUGCAAUAGAUCCGGGGUCGUAAAAGCCCUGGUGCUUUUCCUUACACUGCUUCCCAGCCCCUGCCAUCUUCAACAGUUCUUCUACCUCCAUGGCCCGCCAUCAUCAGUCAGGUUCUAGGCAACCUAAAGGGAGAUGGACUGGGAAAUGGCACAGUGGCCUUUUAGCACGAGUUUCCCAAAGUGGCACAAAAUACUUCUGUCCAAGCCAUGGGCCAGCACUUGGUCACACAGCCACACCUAACUGCCAGGAAUUCUGGAAAAUAAAAAAAAAAUUUUUUUUUUUUUUUUUUUUACU